GUACAUGCAUUCAUCUUCUCCAACAUGUGCAUAUAAAACUAAACCAACUUACCAAGUGCUAAUAGCUCAAUUGGUAAAGAUUUUAGGCAAAAGUUCAGAGGUCGCCGGUUCGAGUAGCGCUUGGCUCGGGCCUGAGGGGAUAUAUGGGCUUUGGCCCAGAACCUCUUUGAUUAUUAAAAAAAAAAAAAAAACCAACUUAUAACUUUCUUCUAGGGUACCGCAAAGGUCAGAUCCAACUAGCUUUUUUCCUCUAUUUGCGAUUGUGUAUGACACUUUGAUAACAACUUUUGAUUGAACCAAAGGGAUGAUAUAUUUUGGAGUUUUAGUGUCUAUCAGACAUGGAAAAUCUUCACGCA
This 356-nucleotide long non-coding RNA is filed under the name Capsella rubella. RNAcentral describes it as "long non-coding RNA (CRUB_LNC002126)". The record is from RNAcentral. Lineage: Eukaryota; Viridiplantae; Streptophyta; Magnoliopsida; Brassicales; Brassicaceae.